GACGAACGCUGGCGGCGUGCUUAACACAUGCAAGUCGAACGGAAAGGCCCUGCUUUUGUGGGGUGCUCGAGUGGCGAACGGGUGAGUAACACGUGAGUAACCUGCCCUUGACUUUGGGGUAACUUCAGGAAACUGGGGCUAAUACCGGAUAGGAGCUCCUGCUGCAUGGUGGGGGUUGGAAAGUUUCGGCGGGCGGGGAUGGACGGGCGGCUUAUGAGCUUGUUGGUGGGGUAGUGGUUUACCCAGGCUUGGACGGGUAGCCGGCCUGAGAGGGUGACCGGCCACAUUGGGACUGAGAUACGGCCCAGACUGCUACGUGAGGCAGCAGGGGGGAAUAUUGCACAAUGGUACGAAGCCUGAUGCGGCGACGCCGCGGGCGGGAUGACGGCCUGCGGGUUGUAAACCGCUUUCGCCUGUGACGAAGCGUUAGUGACGGUAAUGGGUAAAGAAGCACCGGCUAACUACGUG
RNAcentral lists this ribosomal RNA (468 nucleotides) under uncultured bacterium. RNAcentral describes it as "partial 16S ribosomal RNA". It matches the Rfam family "Bacterial small subunit ribosomal RNA", at positions 28 to 507 of the family's 1533-position model. The record is from RNAcentral.